GAGUAAGAUGGCUGCAGCGUGUGUGCUGAGGACCUGGAGCCGGACUGCCGGGCGUCUGAUUUGUGUCCGCUACUUUCAAACAUGUGGUAAUAUUCAUGUUUUGAAACCAAACUAUGUGUCUUUCUUUGGUUAUCCUUCAUUCAAGUAUAACCAUCCACAUCAGCUGCUGAACACAACUGCUGCUCUACAGGGACAGAUUGUUCAGUUCAAACUCUCAGACAUUGGUGAAGGGAUUAGAGAAGUAACUGUUAAAGAAUGGUAUGUAAAAGAAGGAGAUACAGUGUCUCAGUUUGAUAGCAUCUGUGAAGUUCAAAGUGAUAAAGCUUCUGUUACUAUCACUAGUCGUUACGAUGGAGUCAUUAAAAAACUAUAUUAUAAUCUAGACGAUAUUGCCUACGUGGGAAAGCCAUUAGUAGACAUAGAAACGGAAGCUUUAAAAGAUUCAGAAGAAGAUGUUGUUGAAACUCCUGCUGUGUCCCAUGAUGAACACACACACCAAGAGAUAAAGGGUCAAAAAACACUGGCAACUCCUGCAGUUCGUCGCCUUGCAAUGGAAAACAAUAUUAAGCUGAGUGAAGUUGUUGGCUCUGGAAAAGAUGGCAGAAUACUUAAAGAAGAUAUUCUCAGCUAUCUGGAAAAGCAAACAGGAGCUAUACUACCUCCUUCACCAAAAGCUGAAAGUAUGCCACCUCCACCAAAACCAAAAGAGAGAACUAUUCCUAUACCAAUAUCAAAACCUCCAGUAUUCACAGGCAAAGACAGAACAGAACCCAUAAAAGGCUUUCACAAAGCAAUGGUCAAGACCAUGUCUGCAGCCCUGAAGAUACCUCAUUUUGGGUAUUGUGAUGAUGUUGACCUUACUGAACUGGUUAAGCUGCGAGAAGAAUUAAAACCCAUUGCUUUUGCUCGUGGAAUUAAACUCUCCUUCAUGCCCUUCUUCUUAAAGGCUGCUUCCUUGGGAUUACUACAGUUUCCUAUCCUUAAUGCUUCUGUGGAUGAAAACUGCCAGAACAUAACAUAUAAGGCUUCUCAUAACAUUGGGAUAGCAAUGGAUACAGAGCAGGGCUUGAUUGUACCUAAUGUGAAAAAUAUUCAGGUCCGCUCCAUAUUUGAGAUCGCCACUGAAUUGAACCGCCUCCAGAAAUUGGGCUCUGCAGGUCAGCUCAGCACCACUGACCUUACAGGAGGAACAUUUACUCUUUCCAACAUUGGAUCAAUUGGUGGUACCUACGCCAGACCCGUGAUAUUGCCACCCGAAGUGGCAAUUGGGGCCCUGGGAAAAAUUAAGGCCCUUCCCCGAUUUAACGAGAAAGGGGAAGUAUAUAAGGCCCAGAUAAUGAAUGUGAGCUGGUCAGCUGAUCACAGAAUUAUUGAUGGUGCUACAAUGUCACACUUCUCCAAUUUGUGGAAAUCCUACUUAGAAAACCCAGCUUUUAUGCUACUAGAUCUGAAAUGAAGAUUGAUAAGACAUCCUUGAACUUUCUGAGCUUCAAAAGAAAAUGCAGAGCCCAGCUGUGCAGCACACGUUCCUCAUUGCAGUUUGUAUUAUAAUAUGAAGAGUUGCAAAGAAAAUAAAAUCAACCAUAAUCCUACCACUAUUAACAUUUUGAUCAAGGUAUCUGUAUACAUAGCUAUUCUUUUUAUGAAAAUAAGGUUGUGCUGUAUCUACUAUUUUAUAGUUUGAUUUUUUUAAUUUAACAUUAUGAGUCAAUAAACAGCUCCACAUUAUGAUACUUUUAAAUGGCUGCAUAAUAUUCGUUGUUUGCAUUUAUUACACAUCCAAAUGUUAAACAUCUACUGUAUACUAAGUGUGGUGCUAAGCAGUGGGUACACAAUGCCCAUCCUCAUGGUUCCUGCCUUCAUUGGGCUUACAGUCUGGGGAGCGAGACAGAUAUUUAAUAAUCAUAAAAAUAAGAAUAUAAUUAACUUCUAAGUAGGAGAAAACAGGGUGCUAUAAGAGCAUCUAAUAGAAGUUACUGAUCCUGUCUGGGAAGAUGAGGAGAGGAUGUACCAUAAUUUAACCAAUUCC
Molecule: RNA transcript, 2029 nt
Organism: Delphinapterus leucas (beluga whale)
Lineage: Eukaryota; Metazoa; Chordata; Mammalia; Artiodactyla; Monodontidae
Gene: DBT
Gene name: dihydrolipoamide branched chain transacylase E2
Source: RefSeq, a predicted model, not a curated record